GGACCCGCACAAGUAGUGGAGCAUGUGGUUUAAUUCGAAGAUACGCGCAGAACCUUACCAACACUUGACAUGUUCGUCGCGACUUUGAGAGAUCAAAGUUUUCGGUUCGGCCGGACGAAACACAGGUGCUGCAUGGCUGUCGUCAGCUCGUGUCGUGAGAUGUUGGGUUAAGUCCCGCAACGAGCGCAACCCUCACUUUUAGUUGCCAUCAUUAAGUUGGGCACUCUGAAAGAACUGCCAGUGAUAAGCUGGAGGAAGGUGGGGAUGACGUCAAGUCCUCAUGGCCCUUACGUGUUGGGCUACACACGUGCUACAAUGGUAUCUACAACAGGAAGCAAGACUGCGAAGUUAAGCAAAUCCUCAAAAGAUACCUCAGUUCGGAUUGCACUCUGCAACUCGAGUGCAUGAAGCUGGAAUUACUAGUAAUCG
Molecule: ribosomal RNA, 429 nt
Filed under: uncultured bacterium
Lineage: Bacteria
Description: bacterial SSU rRNA
Rfam family: Bacterial small subunit ribosomal RNA
Source: RNAcentral